GCAUAUCAUAAGCCCGAGAGAUA
Molecule: ribosomal RNA, 23 nt
Filed under: Boletus pinophilus
Lineage: Eukaryota; Fungi; Basidiomycota; Agaricomycetes; Boletales; Boletaceae
Description: partial 28S ribosomal RNA
Source: RNAcentral